AACGAACGCUGGCGGCAUGCCUAACACAUGCAAGUCGAACGAUGCUUUCGGGCAUAGUGGCGCACGGGUGCGUAACGCGUGGGAAUCUGCCCUGGGGUUCGGGAUAACAGCGGGAAACUGCUGCUAAUACCGGAUGAUAUCGCGAGAUCAAAGAUUUAUCGCCCUGGGAUGAGCCCGCGUCGGAUUAGGUAGUUGGUGGGGUAAGAGCCUACCAAGCCGACGAUCCGUAGCUGGUCUGAGAGGAUGAUCAGCCACACUGGGACUGAGACACGGCCCAGACUCCUACGGGAGGCAGCAGUGGGGAAUAUUGGACAGUGGGCGCAAGCCUGAUCCAGCAAUGCCGCGUGAGUGAUGAAGGCCUUAGGGUUGUAAAGCUCUUUUACCCGGGAUGAUAAUGACAGUACCGGGAGAAUAAGCCACGGCUAACUCCGUG
RNAcentral lists this ribosomal RNA (433 nucleotides) under uncultured bacterium. RNAcentral's name for it is "partial 16S ribosomal RNA". It matches the Rfam family "Bacterial small subunit ribosomal RNA", at positions 29 to 507 of the family's 1533-position model. The record is from RNAcentral.